GUGGGGAAUCUUCCGCAAUGGACGAAAGUCUGACGGAGCAACGCCGCGUGAGUGAUGAAGGUCUUCGGAUUGUAAAGCUCUGUUAAUCGGGACGAAAGAGCCUAGUGUGAAUAAUGCUAGGAAGUGACGGUACCGGAAUAGAAAGCCACGGCUAACUACGUGCCAGCAGCCGCGGUAAUACGUAGGUGGCAAGCGUUGUCCGGAAUUAUUGGGCGUAAAGCGCGCGCAGGCGGAUCUGCCAGUCUGUCUUAAAAGUUCGGGGCUUAACCCCGUGAUGGGAUGGAAACUACAGAUCUAGAGUAUCGGAGAGGAAAGUGGAAUUCCUAGUGUAGCGGUGAAAUGCGUAGAUAUUAGGAAGAACACCAGUGGCGAAGGCGACUUUCUGGACGAUGUCUGACGCUGAGGCGCGAAAGCUAGGGGAGCGAACGGGAUUAGAAACCCCGGUAGUCC
Molecule: ribosomal RNA, 450 nt
Filed under: uncultured bacterium
Lineage: Bacteria
Description: partial 16S ribosomal RNA
Rfam family: Bacterial small subunit ribosomal RNA
Source: RNAcentral